RNAcentral lists this ribosomal RNA (498 nucleotides) under uncultured bacterium. Its description in RNAcentral is "bacterial SSU rRNA". It matches the Rfam family "Bacterial small subunit ribosomal RNA", at positions 27 to 518 of the family's 1533-position model. The record is from RNAcentral.
GGGUGAACGCUAGCGGCAGGCUAACACAUGCAAGUCGAGGGGGCAUCGGGAGUAGCAAUACUGCCGGCGACCGGCGCAAGGGUGCGUAACGCGUGAGCAACAUGCCCGUAUCAGGGGGGAUAAUCCAUGGAAACGUGGUCUAAUACCCCAUAGUAAUUAUGUAAGGCAUCUUAUAUAAUUUAAAGCUUUGGUGGAUACGGAUUGGCUCGCGUGACAUUAGCUGGAUGGUAAGGUAACGGCUUACCAUGGCUACGAUGUCUAGGGGUUCUGAGAGGAAGGUCCCCCCACACUGGAACUGAGACACGGUCCAGACUCCUACGGGAGGCAGCAGUGAGGAAUAUUGGACAAUGGAUGGAAAUCUGAUCCAGCCAUGCCGCGUGCAAGGAAGACGGCCCUAUGGGUUGUAAACUGCUUUUGUAUGGGAGCAAUAAGGGCUACGUGUAGUCCGAUGAGAGUACCAUACGAAUAAGCACCGGCUAACUCCGUGCCAGCAGCCGC